UACAGAGGGGGCAAGCGUUAUUCGGAAUUAUUGGGCGUAAAGGGCGCGUAGGCGGCUUUGCAAGUGACGGGUGAAAUCCCUCGGCUUAACCGAGGAACUGCCUGUCAGACUGCAUGGCUCGAGACCAGGAGAGGUGAGUGGAAUUCCCAGUGUAGCGGUGAAAUGCGUAGAUAUUGGGAGGAACACCAGUGGCGAAGGCGGCUUUCUGGUCCGAUUCUGACGCUGAGGCGCGAAAGCGUGGGGAGCGAUCCGG
Molecule: ribosomal RNA, 253 nt
Filed under: uncultured bacterium
Lineage: Bacteria
Description: partial 16S ribosomal RNA
Rfam family: Bacterial small subunit ribosomal RNA
Source: RNAcentral